AGGACGAACGCUGGCGGCGUGCCUAACACAUGCAAGUCGAGCGAGGAGAUCCUUCGGGAUGAUCCUAGCGGCGGACGGGUGAGUAACACGUGGGCAACCUGCCUCAUAGAGAGGAAUAGCCUUCCGAAAGGGAGAUUAAUACCUCAUAACAUUGCAGUUUCGCAUGAAACAGCAAUUAAAGGAGCAAUCCGCUAUGAGAUGGGGCCCGCGGCGCAUUAGCUAGUUGGUGAGGUAACGGCUCACCAAGGCGACGAUGCGUAGCCGACCUGAGAGGGUGAUCGGCCACAUUGGGACUGAGACACGGCCCAGACUCCUACGGGAGGCAGCAGUGGGGAAUAUUGCACAAUGGGGGAAACCCUGAUGCAAGCAACGCCGCGUGAGUGAUGACGGCCUUCGGGUUGUAAAGCUCUGUCUUCAGGGACGAUAAUGACGGUACCUGAGGAGGAAGCCACGGCUAACUACGUGCCAGCCGCUGC
RNAcentral lists this ribosomal RNA (476 nucleotides) under uncultured bacterium. Its description in RNAcentral is "bacterial SSU rRNA". It matches the Rfam family "Bacterial small subunit ribosomal RNA", at positions 26 to 518 of the family's 1533-position model. The record is from RNAcentral.